AGUGAACGCUGGCGGUAGGCCUAACACAUGCAAGUCGAACGGCAGCACAGGAGAGCUUGCUCUCUGGGUGGCGAGUGGCGGACGGGUGAGGAAUACAUCGGAAUCUACUUUUUCGUGGGGGAUAACGUAUGGAAACUUACGCUAAUACCGCAUACGACCUACGGGUGAAAGCAGGGGACCUUCGGGCCUUGCGCGAUUGAAUGAGCCGAUGUCGGAUUAGCUAGUUGGCGGGGCAAAGGCCCACCAAGGCGACGAUCCGUAGCUGGUCUGAGAGGAUGAUCAGCCACACUGGAACUGAGACACGGUCCAGACUCCUACGGGAGGCAGCAGUGGGGAAUAUUGGACAAUGGGCGCAAGCCUGAUCCAGCCAUACCGCGUGGGUGAAGAAGGCCUUCGGGUUGUAAAGCCCUUUUGUUGGGAAAGAAAUCCAGCUGGCUAAUACCCGGUUGGGAUGACGGUACCCAAAGAAUAAGCACCGGCUAACUUCGUGCCAGCAGCCGCGGUAA
RNAcentral lists this ribosomal RNA (506 nucleotides) under uncultured bacterium. RNAcentral's name for it is "partial 16S ribosomal RNA". It matches the Rfam family "Bacterial small subunit ribosomal RNA", at positions 29 to 523 of the family's 1533-position model. The record is from RNAcentral.